This 490-nucleotide ribosomal RNA is filed under the name uncultured bacterium. Its description in RNAcentral is "partial 16S ribosomal RNA". It matches the Rfam family "Bacterial small subunit ribosomal RNA", at positions 30 to 507 of the family's 1533-position model. The record is from RNAcentral.
AUUGAACGCUGGCGGCAGGCCUAACACAUGCAAGUCGAACGGUAACAGGAAGAAGCUUGCUUCUUUGCUGACGAGUGGCGGACGGGUGAGUAAUGUCUGGGAAACUGCCUGAUGGAGGGGGAUAACUACUGGAAACGGUAGCUAAUACCGCAUAACGUCGCAAGACCAAAGAGGGGGACCUUCGGGCCUCUUGCCAUCGGAUGUGCCCAGAUGGGAUUAGCUAGUAGGUGGGGUAACGGCUCGCCUAGGCGACGAUCCCUAGCUGGUCUGAGAGGAUGACCAGCCACACUGGAACUGAGACACGGUCCAGACUCCUACGGGAGGCAGCAGUGGGGAAUAUUGCACAAUGGGCGCAAGCCUGAUGCAGCCAUGCCGCGUGUAUGAAGAAGGCCUUCGGGUUGUAAAGUACUUUCAGCGGGGAGGAAGGGAGUAAAGUUAAUACCUUUGCUCAUUGACGUUACCCGCAGAAGAAGCACCGGCUAACUCCGUG